Molecule: long non-coding RNA, 1605 nt
Organism: Triticum dicoccoides
Lineage: Eukaryota; Viridiplantae; Streptophyta; Magnoliopsida; Poales; Poaceae
Exons: 5
Source: RefSeq, a predicted model, not a curated record
CCGCGGUGCUGCCUCCCUCCCGGCCGCACCUCCUGGCCUGUCGCACUCUGCCCCCGCGGCAGUCCCUUGCUCUACUCCCCCGCCGCGGUCCUCUUCCGACACUUCUGCCGCCGCGCCCCACGCGGCGGCUGGCCAUCUCCACUGCCGAUUACCGCCCCCAAUCCGCCGCUUACCACCAGUCCACCACACAACCCGUCCUGCCUUACCCCGGCUCCCCGGCAGCCUCCUGAUCCACUCCCCUGAUCCUUCCUGCUCCAUCGCGUCCCGGCCUCGUGUUCCACUGCGCCUCCUACUUGCCCCGCUCCCGGCCCACCCCGCGGACGCCUACUCGCACAGUCGCACCACGCUGACGGACUCCAGUGCCCGCCACACUUCAGUUCCGCCGCCAACACAUUGUCGAGGACUGAGGACAAGAAGGGCAUCAUCUGCGACCUGAAGCUGAAAGUAUUGUUUUGACUGAGCAAAAGCACAUCCGAUUCGUGGAGGUCGUGAAGAUUCUUCCAUCUGUGACUGGGGACUUAAGCAAACUUUUCAACUUCUUCAGUUCACUGCAAAUUAACAGUGCCCUCCAUAGAUUGUGCCUAAAGCUCCAAGAAGACUAACACAGCCACUGAUCAUCACACGAAGAAAAAUAUUCAGUUUCAGGUCUCCCCAGGAAAUGGAUGUCUUGCCUUUGCCAAAGCGACCUACCAGGGACUGGUCGGAGCUGCCUUUUGACGCCCUCUAUUCAAUUUUUGAAAAUCUAGGGGUCGUUGAUCUUCUCAUGGGUGCGGGCCUUGUUUGCCACUCAUGGCUGGAGGUGGCCAAGGAGCCUGAUAAUCGUGCACAUGCAGCACCACGGGAUCGUUGGCAUGAACGCGAAUGAUUUGCGGGCAAUGUUGAACGUGUCUAUCGACCGUUCUGACGGGCGGAUGGAGGUGUUCGUGGGAGAGUGGUUUCUUACUAAUAAGCUCCUCAAGUACAUAGCGGACAGGUCGCCCAAUCUGAGGCACCUUGACCUUGUGAAGUGCUAUAGGAUCACGAAAGAAGGAUUGGCCGAGGCGAUGCCAAGGUUUCCUCUGCUGGAGAAGAUCGUGCUUUGGGGUUACCGAAGAAGUGUCACAGGGGAUUUGUAUCAAGUCAUUGGUAAAACAUGCAAUCAACUCGAGUGCCUCGAGCUAUGCCAUGGGAGCAGGGAACAGACGCUUGGGAUUGCGGCACUGCAUGGGCUGCGAGACCUUGCCCUCAUACGCUGCAGCGUGAACGACGAAGGGCUGGCAUUUAUCAUUGAUAGCUGCCCUCUCCUGGAGCGUCUUCACGUGAGGGGUUGCUCCGAGAUCGUGGGCGAGCCAGUCCUGAUGGCCAAGCGUGCCAGGAUCAAGGCAAUGUCGGUUCAAAUCUAUGCCCGCUAUAACUGGGACUAAGUGGUUUGUAUUUCUCCAUUUAAGAUGUACGCUGAGGGGCAACUAAAUUUUGGUGACAGAGUGUAGCGAACCGGAGAGGAGGGGAUCGGAGUAGGUGAGGGAGAGCAAGAGAGAGACUUGGAGAGGAAGAAGGGAGAUUGCUUCCAGAGGAAGGAUUAGGAAGAGUUGACAGUCUGUUACAUCGCAUGCCCUGUCACAGGCG